AUGAGGUGGUGGAUCAUGUUCCGCAACGUCGACGGGCUCACCGUGACCGGCGACGGGACCAUCGACGGCAACGGCGAGACGUGGUGGAAGAGCUCGUGCCGGGUGGACAAGAAGCUCAAGUGCGCCAACGCCCCGAUGGCGCUGCUGCUCAGCAGGUGCAACAACCUCACGGUGGAGAACAUCCAGCUACUCAACAGCCAGCAGAUCCACAUGUCGGUCGAGGACUGCCAGGACGUGCUCCUAAAGGGCAUCACCAUCACCGCCCCCGGCGACAGCCCCAUGAACGACGGCAUCCACAUUGCGCGCACCAAGGACAUCCAGGUCCUGGAUUGCGACAUUAAAACAGGGGACGACUGCAUGUCCAUCGAGACCGGAACCGAAAACCUCUACGCUUCGAGGAUAACCUGUGGCCCGGGACACGGGAUCAGCAUCGGGAGCUUAGGCGACGACAACUCCGAGGCUCGAGUCUCUAACAUAACAGUCUACAAGGCGCACCUCUCCGGCACGACCAACGGCGUGCGCAUGAAGUCGUGGCAGGGAGGAAAAGGGUACGCCAAGGACGUCACGUUCGAGGACAUAACCAUGGAGGAGGUCCAUAACCCCAUAAUCAUCGACCAGAACUACUGCACAUCGGUCGAUCCCGCCAACCCUAAGCCGUGCAAGAAACAAACUUCGGCGGUGGAGUUCAGCAACAUUCGGUUCAAGAACAUAAGGGGCACGAGCGCGACGAAAGAGGCUAUCAAGCUGGACUGCAGCGACACCGUCCCAUGCCGCGAUAUAUUGUUGCAAGACGUGAAGCUUACUUUUCAUGACCGUGGGCACAACCACAAGCACGCUUCUGCAACAAGUGUAUGCAACAACGCCAAGCUAACCGAAUCUGGCACCAACGUAGAUCCCAAGCCCUGCUGA
Molecule: ribosomal RNA, 909 nt
Filed under: Triticum aestivum (bread wheat)
Lineage: Eukaryota; Viridiplantae; Streptophyta; Magnoliopsida; Poales; Poaceae
Description: partial small subunit ribosomal RNA
Source: RNAcentral